AGUGAACGCUGGCGGCAGGCUUAACACAUGCAAGUCGAACGGCAGCACAGUAUGCGAUUGCCCGUACGGGUGGCGAGUGGCGGAAGGGUGAGGUAUACAUGGGAAUCUCAUCUUUAGAGGGGGAUAACGAAGGGAAACUUACGCUAAUAACGCAUACGACCUACGGGUGAAAGCAGUGGAUCUUCGGACCUUGCGUGGUUGAAUGAGCCGGUGUCGCGUCAGCUAGUUGGAGGGGUUCAGGCACACCAAGCCGACGCUCCGUAGCUGGUCUGAGAGGAGGAACAGCCACGCUGGGACAGGAACACCGGCCAGACUCCGACGGGGGGCAGCAGUGGGGAAUAUUGGGCAACGGGCGCAAGCCUUAUCCAGCCAUGCCGCGUGGGUUAAGAAGGCCAUCGGGUUGGAAAGCCGUUGUGUUGGGAAUGGAGAGCAGCAUGUUAAUGCGCCGCUGUUCUGACGGUACCCAAAGAAUAAGCACCGGCUAACUUCGUG
Molecule: ribosomal RNA, 492 nt
Filed under: uncultured bacterium
Lineage: Bacteria
Description: partial 16S ribosomal RNA
Rfam family: Bacterial small subunit ribosomal RNA
Source: RNAcentral